This is an RNA transcript of Drosophila albomicans, 977 nucleotides long. RefSeq lists it as uncharacterized. The record is from RefSeq and is a predicted model, not a curated record. Lineage: Eukaryota; Metazoa; Arthropoda; Insecta; Diptera; Drosophilidae. The transcript has 3 exons.
CCUUCAUUUCAAUUUCUAAUAUUAGAAAAUUUGACAGUGCUGCUGCUUCGUCUGUCUUUCAGACGGAGACAGAGACGGAGACGGAGACGGACACCGAGACGGAGUGGAAGAGGAAGGCGGAGACGAAGGGCAGACGGACGUGCAGCAAGCACACUUUCAUUUUGAUUGCCCGUCUAAGUCCCCAACAUCUUCCACUUCAACGGGCUUCCACGCGACCCACCAAUAUUUUCAACCUGUGCCCAGCCCUUUUUCUGGCUUUCAUUUAAUUUGUCUGCGUUGUUUGUGCAACACUUCAGUGCGACGAACUGAAGCUGAUGCUGAUGCUGAAUCUGAAGCUGGAAAUGGAGCUGGAGCUGGAGCUGGAGCGUCGACCAAAGCAGGAGACGUCGACGUCGCCGACUCUUUAUAGCUCCUUUUCGAUUGCCUUGCCUGUCAACACUGGUCAUCGAUGAAAACAACGCUUCGAAAAUGUGCGAGAGUGAACGACCUACAUAAAUAUACAUACGUUCACAUGUAUGUAGUUGAAAGUGAAAUUUUUCCACAGUACCAGACAGCACACCAACACAUACAUACAUGUACAUGCGCCGAAGUUGGAGGAAUUCGUUGACAAGGGACUAUGAUAUCAUUGACAUUCAUUGGAUUUGACGGCCGUUUGCACCUGAUGCCAACACAAACACACGACGAGAGAUACCCGAGAAGUGUUUUUUGUUGGGGGUCAUAUUCAAAUGCAGUAAGUCUAGCGAACUCGAAAGCCAUUUAACGAAUUGCGAAGCCAAGAAAACAUAUUUUACACGAAACGCCCCAUUCAAUUCAAAAAUAUAAAUGAUAAUAGGAUUGACGGUGGUUCACCCUAAAAUUUGAUAUGCAAACAAAAAUUCGAUACGCUGAGAUUGUUAAUAAGCUGAAUAUGAAUUUCAAUUAAAUUUGGGUUAAGUUGUCUCGGAACUUAAAAACCUGCAAUGGAAGAGUUUUUCUUA